GGCCCGCCCCUAGGCCGGCCCCGCCUCCUUCCCCGCCCCGACCGGAAGAAGCGCCGGCGCCCGGCACUUAUAGGGCCGGGAAUGGGGGUGCCACCACCGCCUAGUUAGCUCUGCGUCUGCGGAGUCCCGGCCGCCGCAGCGCUGUUGUCGCGGCGCUCCCGCCCCGUCCUCUGCCCUCCCGCACCGCCCCCCUGGAGCCGGCCGGACCGGCCAGGAGCCAGGGCCGAGUCCUCGCCAUGCCUGCCCGACUGCAGCUGCUGCUGCUGGCGUUGCUGCUGCCCAGCCCCGGGUCUCUGCUUGAAUGUAACUUUGACGUGGUCCACACUGAAGUUUUGAUCAAUACUGUUAUUACCCAGCUUGAUUGCACAAUUUAUCGAGGACACUUGGAUUCUUGGUUGUUUCUAAAAACCCGUGAGAGACUGUCUACCACGUAGAGGAUUCAAAAGUAUAUUCUUUGAAGGUGCACCGUUGGAAGGCCGCGCCGCAGAAGGCCCUGCAGCACAUAGCUGGUCCCCGUCUCAGCCGCUGCACUUUGGCUAUGACUCAAAGAAUCCUAAGAGCUGGUUUAGAAACAAGAGGAAACUCACUUCUAAAAUUCACAUGGACUGGGCUGGACCAAAUCUAAACUCUGCUGGAACCAUGUUGACAAAGAUUUUUGGAAGUCCCAGCACUGUGACACUUCCUGAAACCUUGUUGUUUGUGUCAACCCUGGACGGAAGUUUGCAUGCCGUCAGCAAGAGGACAGGCUCAAUCAAAUGGACUUUGAAAGAAGAUCCGGUCCUGCAGGUUCCAACACAUGUGGAAGAGCCUGCAUUCCUCCCAGAUCCCAACGAUGGCAGCCUGUAUACGCUUGGGGGCAAGAAUAAUGAAGGCCUGACGGUGAGUGUAUUUAGCUCCUUUGUACUCCGGAGGCUCUAGACCACUGAUCUUCAAUUUAGCUGUGCGUUGAGAUCACCUGAGAGCUUAAAAAAAAAAUUUCUGGGGAUUCUGAAUCAGGUGGUCUGGAUUGGGGCCUGGGCAUCAGCAUCUUUUCACAGCUUCCUCAGUGAGCUUUUAAACGUACAGCUCAGAGUUCAGAAACGUCGAUCUGGACCAGCAGGUUCUCAUGGCUCAGCCAGCACACAGGAGGCGCUCGGCAGACACCGCCAGGCUCCAGGCUGGAAACCUUGCAACGACUUUCUGAUCCUCAGAAACAUCUGAGGGAAAACCCAGUCGUUACUGCCUCUCCGUGGCAUUUUUCCUUUGCUAAGGCUUAGUUUAAACAUCGGGAUGAUGGGGAAAUCCACAUUAUUGGUUAUUUAAAGUUCUGUUUACUAAAGCUCAAGGGAAAUCUUUGCUUUCUUGGGGAGAAAGGUGACAGCGGCGUAGAAGCAGGUAUCUGUGGAACGGUUUCAAGAACACAGAAUGUUCCAAAA
Physeter macrocephalus (sperm whale) is the source of this 1415-nucleotide RNA transcript. It is a transcript of the gene named serine/threonine-protein kinase/endoribonuclease IRE1-like, with no coding region annotated. The record is from RefSeq and is a predicted model, not a curated record. NCBI's taxonomy places the organism in Eukaryota, Metazoa, Chordata, Mammalia, Artiodactyla, Physeteridae. The transcript has 6 exons.